Molecule: long non-coding RNA, 1062 nt
Organism: Syngnathoides biaculeatus (alligator pipefish)
Lineage: Eukaryota; Metazoa; Chordata; Actinopteri; Syngnathiformes; Syngnathidae
Exons: 4
Source: RefSeq, a predicted model, not a curated record
CCGAUUAGCGCCAGCUGUGGACACUUUUCACCUGCUAUAAAAGCUCGCCUGGUCACUUUCCUUCACAAUUGUCUCUGGCACAAUGGCUGGUGUUUGGCUCUUGGUUCUGUUUCUCUGUGUUGUCUUCAUGGACAAUGGCUUUUGUUUUCCAGGUGCGGUGAAACAAGGGGAGUCCGAUGCUGUGCCAAAAAAAGAUGCGUCCCCUGAUUAUGUUUCACUUCAGAGACUUGUUAAACUUCUUGAUUCUUUGGACUCUCCAUUGAAACUACACACUCCGGCCCAACCUGCAACCAAGGAGGUAUUUCAAGACAAAGCAAGCCACCAUGAGCAAAAUGAUUACCAUCUCUACAACGUGAGCGGCAAGGGCCAACUGAACGACGUCUUGAGCUUCAACGUGAGCGGCGAGGGCCAACUGGAUGAUGACUCAGCAAAUGGAGGGCUCAUUGUAAAUAUUUGAUUUAUAUGGCAUGGAAGAACUGUUUAAUGUAACUUGAUAAAAAUUCUUAUCAGCACAUUGAAAAGGUUUUCAUCUAAAAACUACUGGUUUAAAUCACCUUCAGUGACAAUUUCAAUUCAGGGCCGGUCCACAAGCUGUGAAUUGGGGCCUAGCAUGUUACCUGCUUUACUCAUUGAAAAACUGUUUGCUGACCAAAUUUAGAGUGACAAAGGAUGGUACAAAUUUUGCCACUUUGUCAAAAUGGUAGCAACUGACAAGAUGUUUUCAAGUUGGACGUGAGUGAGCUGAAAUAUUGAAGUUGCAUGACUAAGCUAUCCAGUCUGUAAAUCCAUUUUGAUUGGAUACCUGUGUAAUCAUGACAGCCAUAUCUGAUUGAAUUGGAGUCAGAUAACAGACAUUUCAUGGGUACAACAGCCUCCCUAUGUGGCAGAUGUCUAAAAAUAGCCACCCACACAAAUCAGUCUCAAAUGGCAUGUUGAUCAUUGAAGUAUUCAUUCUUUGCAUAAGUAAAGGUUUAACUACUGGCAAAUACUGUAUCAAAAGUUAGAAUAGAUAUAACAGUGUUAAUCACCUUUGUUCAAUAAAAAACGAAACUAUGAAAGAGA